AGAGAUUUCAAAGAAGCAACAUUUGGAU
Molecule: non-coding RNA, 28 nt
Filed under: Mus musculus (house mouse)
Lineage: Eukaryota; Metazoa; Chordata; Mammalia; Rodentia; Muridae
Source: RNAcentral